AGAAAACAACCGAGGCAGGGUAUGCAAAGGUUCAGAGAAAUGGUGUGGGAAGAGGGCAGUGUGGUCAGACAGAUCUGAAUUUGACCUUGACUUCACUCUCCUGGGUCAUUAGACCUUGAGCAGAUCCUAUCCACCCAUACUGAGUGUCAAUUGCCUUCUUUGUGAGAAGGGGCUGAUUCUGUGCUGCUAGGGUUAGAGGGAUGGGCAGGAACGAAGGGCCUUGUUUUUGAGCCUGGGUGAGACAGACCUGCUGGGCAGGGCAAGCAGGAUAGAGAGCUUCAUGCCCAGGGGCCAAACUUCAGGGACUUGGCAAAUAAGACUUUGGUUCUGGACAAACAUCACCAAUCAACAUUGCGCUCAGUAUCUACCCUGGUCCUUACAACUUAAUAUAGAAACACAAACGAUCCAGUUGACAAAGUGGAAAGGAAAUCAAACCACAACGAGAUGUGGCCUCACUCCAAUUAGAAUGGCCAAAGAUAGCAGGUGCCAAAGGGGAUAGGGGAAAGGGGACCCUUGCACACUCCUGGCGGGAGGGUGUGUUAGUACAGCAGCUAUAGAAAACAGGGUGGCGGCCCCUCAGGAAAACGGAAAAGGAAACCACCACAGGACCAGCCGUGCCACCGCUGGGUGGAUGUCCAGAGGAAAGGAACUCAGCAUGUUCAGGAGGCAUCAGCACUAUUCACAGCAGCCAAGAAAUGGAAUCAAUCUGCCAGGUGCGGGGCUCAGGCCUGUUAUCCCAGUGGCUCAGGAGGCUGAGGCAGGAGGAUUAUGAGUUCAAGGCCAGCCUCAGCAAUUAACGAGGUCCUGAGCCACUUAUCAAGACCUUAUCUCAAAAUUAAAAAAAAAAAUUAAAAAAGGGCUGGGGAUGUAGCUCAGUGGUUGAGUGCUCCUGGUCAAAAAAACAAAACAAUAACAACAAAAAAAAAACACCCCACAAAACUGCAGAGAGAUACCACUUCACACCCGCCAGGAUGGCAGUAAUCAAAACAUUAACCAUAACAAGUGUUGACAAAGAUGUGGAGAAAUUGCAAUCGAAACCCUCAGACUCUGCAGGUGGGAAUGUAAAAUGGUGCACACUCUUGAAAACAGUCUGGCAGAUUCUCAAAAGUUUGGACAUAGAGUUUGC
RNAcentral lists this long non-coding RNA (1126 nucleotides) under Marmota monax (woodchuck). Lineage: Eukaryota; Metazoa; Chordata; Mammalia; Rodentia; Sciuridae. The record is from RNAcentral.